RNAcentral lists this ribosomal RNA (229 nucleotides) under uncultured bacterium. RNAcentral's name for it is "partial 16S ribosomal RNA". It matches the Rfam family "Bacterial small subunit ribosomal RNA", at positions 568 to 796 of the family's 1533-position model. The record is from RNAcentral.
UGCGUAGGCGGAAUAUUAAGUCAGUGGUGAAAUCCUGCGGCUCAACCGUAGAACUGCCAUUGAUACUGAUAUUCUUGAAUAUAGUUGAGGUAAGCGGAAUGUGUAAUGUAGCGGUGAAAUGCUUAGAUAUUACACAGAACACCGAUUGCGAAGGCAGCUUACUAAACUAUGAUUGACGCUGAGGCACGAAAGCGUGGGGAGCGAACAGGAUUAGAUACCCUGGUAGUCC